UGUGGUGACUGAUGAAUAGAUGGAGCACAGAGGAUUUUUAGGGCAUUGAAAAUUCUCUGUAUGAUACAAUAAUGAUGGAUACAUCUUAUUCUCUUGUCCACAGUUA
This is a non-coding RNA of Ceratotherium simum simum (southern white rhinoceros), 106 nucleotides long. NCBI's taxonomy places the organism in Eukaryota, Metazoa, Chordata, Mammalia, Perissodactyla, Rhinocerotidae. The record is from RefSeq and is a predicted model, not a curated record.